RNAcentral lists this ribosomal RNA (292 nucleotides) under uncultured bacterium. RNAcentral describes it as "partial 16S ribosomal RNA". It matches the Rfam family "Bacterial small subunit ribosomal RNA", at positions 505 to 796 of the family's 1533-position model. The record is from RNAcentral.
GUGCCAGCAGCCGCGGUAAAACGUAGGAGCCAAGCGUUAUCCGAAUUCACUGGGCGUAAAGCGUGUGCAGGCGGACCUGUAAGUUUGAUGUGAAAUCUCCUGGCUCAACUGGGAGAGGCCGUUGAAUACUGUAGGUCUAGAGGGCAACAGAGGGAGGUGGAAUUCCCGGUGUAGUGGUGAAAUGCGUAGAUAUCGGGAGGAACACCAGUGGCGAAAGCGGCCUCCUGGGUUGCAUCUGACGCUCAGACACGAAAGCUAGGGGAGCGAACGGGAUUAGAUACCCUCGUAGUCC